GACAGAGGCCUCGAGCGUUAGGCGGAAUCACUGGGCUUAAAGCGUGUGUAGGCGGACCUCUAAGUACCUUGUGAAAUCCCACGGCUCACCCGUGGAACCGCUGGGUAUACUGGGGGUCUUGGGCCACUCAGGGGCGACUGGAACAAGCGGUGGAGCGGUGAAAUGCGUAGAUAUCGCUUGGAACGCCGAAGGUGAAAACAGGUCGCUGGGAGUGUGCCGACGCUGAGACACGAAAGCCAGGGGAGCAAACGGG
This 253-nucleotide ribosomal RNA is filed under the name uncultured bacterium. RNAcentral describes it as "partial 16S ribosomal RNA". It matches the Rfam family "Bacterial small subunit ribosomal RNA", at positions 524 to 776 of the family's 1533-position model. The record is from RNAcentral.